CCAUUUUCUCCUGUGGUCUGAUGAUUCAGAGUUCAGCACGAAAGUUGGAGGUUAGAAGGUGUGAUGAAUCACAACGUGAGACAGAAAUAAACUAAAAUAAUUAAAGCUAAAGAGAAAUGUGCUUCUCCUAUCCUAAGCCACAAUGGUGAGGCACCACCAACCUCUUCGCUUUCUCUCCAGAUGAAGCCGACGAAGCGAUGCUGUCCAACGUUGCUCCAGUGCUGUUGCUUUCCUUGCCAUCUUCAUCUGCUUCAUGGUCCCCAUUGCUGUCACCACAGGUCGCCGAGCUCGUUUUGCCGAUUUCCAAUUCAUCUCCACCGCCGGACGCCAAUGUUGAUGUCUCUCCCGAUGAACCCACGCCGACCGUUUGGCUCUUUGGCAGCUGUUUCUCUUCACGUUGCUGCGGCUGAUUUAAUCCUCUCCUAGGUGGUUCGUCUACCGGAGGGAAGUGAAUAUAGCAUAACGGAGUGAGCCUCGUUGGUCAGUCUCUCCAUCUCGCGCGCCAAAGUAGACAUGAAGACCAAAAGCUUUUUUUUUUUGCCGACAAGCCAAUUUAUGCUGUCAAAUGAUUAAAUUGCUGCAAAUGCUAAGACACGCCCAGAAACUUCUCGUCCAGGGCAUGGACAGUUCCAUUACUUGAAGAACGAACGCACAACCGUCAAGACUGUUAACGGUUAUUGAACCACACAGACACACAAUCACUCCUUAUAUUAAAAGCUGUCCCAUUUAGAAGCUAAUUUAUUUGAAUAAAUGAAAAAUACUAUCUCUUACCUUUCUCCUUUGCAUGACUCUCCUCCUAAAAAGUAAAAAGUACUUGUAAGCAAAUGAAAUAAGAAUAAACGAAUUAAAAAUAAA
Molecule: long non-coding RNA, 855 nt
Organism: Daphnia pulex (common water flea)
Lineage: Eukaryota; Metazoa; Arthropoda; Branchiopoda; Diplostraca; Daphniidae
Exons: 2
Source: RefSeq, a predicted model, not a curated record